Long non-coding RNA from Temnothorax curvispinosus, 993 nucleotides. RefSeq lists it as uncharacterized. The record is from RefSeq and is a predicted model, not a curated record. NCBI's taxonomy places the organism in Eukaryota, Metazoa, Arthropoda, Insecta, Hymenoptera, Formicidae. The transcript has 7 exons.
GCGGCGGACAGAGUGGACAGACACGAGACGGAUCGGCUCCGGAAUGAGUGGCCGUCGCGACUUAUUUAAUUGGAAACAGAUGUAAGUGCGCAGAAAUAACAACGAAAAAAGAAGAGAAGAGCGGGAGGAGCCAAGGAGGCGGCCAGGUGUAACAGAUAAAGUCAAUCUUGUAAACAUAUACGCUGUUGUGUAAAAAAAGGGUUUAAAUGGAAAAACCCGAGAGGAGGAUGAGGAGGCCUAAGAGAGAAAUCAGACAGACAUAUACGCUGUUGUGUGAAAAAAAGGGUUUAGAUGGAAGAACCCGAGAGGAGGAAGAAGCGGCCUAGGAGAGGCGUCAGGCGCCGGCAAAACAUCAUUGUGGAGAUAACGGCGCCCAAAGUGUCGCAUCGAGGGAGCUGACAACCCGAGAGGACAGCCUGAGAGGAGGAGGAGGCCUGGGAGAGGCAUUAGGCGCCAGCGGAACAACUUUGCGAAUCAACGUAGCUACGUGGCAGAUAUAAUUCCGCUGUUGCGCAUCGGGGUCGGGUGGCGAGGAAGAACUACGAGAAGGGCCUAUCCGUGGCGUUUUCCGAAAAUUGUCGCUAGCAUGCGAUGCCAUGCCCGCUUCACACAUGGCAUGCGACAGAUUUGUCCCGCGCGAGGAAGACUAAAAGGAUCUGUAACAAGUCUUGUUAAGACGACCGCAGCUAGAAGAUUAUUCUCGGAAGAGCUUUUUGCAAAAGUGACGGCUGCAUAAUUAAUCGAAUAAUAUGCAAAUUUCUCCUCUAUAUAAUAAGUGUCGGACUAUUAAUCAAAUUCCGGAUUACCAGUUUCCAUCGCAAAAUGAUGAAGAAAAACGCGAAUAAUUACAGGAUUAUUAAUUGCAUAAUGUUACGCACUCGAAAAGCAUAUUAAUAUUCCGAGCUUAUGCCAUCAUGCGAUUAAUGACUCUAAUAGGCAGAACAAAUAUUAAUAAAAUAAUGUAGGGGUAGCUUCGCACCUCAAGAUUUUAAA